Cricetulus griseus (Chinese hamster) is the source of this 134-nucleotide small nucleolar RNA. Its record names the gene SNORA70. It matches the Rfam family "Small nucleolar RNA SNORA70". From Rfam's summary of the family: snoRNA U70 seems to be exclusive to mammals and is a member of the H/ACA class of snoRNA which contain H (ANANNA) and ACA box motifs. H/ACA box snoRNAs are involved in the conversion of uridines to pseudouridines (5-ribosyluracil) a constituent of structural RNAs (transfer, ribosomal, small nuclear, and small nucleolar). NCBI's taxonomy places the organism in Eukaryota, Metazoa, Chordata, Mammalia, Rodentia, Cricetidae. The record is from Ensembl.
CAGCAGAUCCUGAUACCAGCCAGGUCCCUUUCUUGUAGGGGCCCAGAGUGCAACAGCUGCAAACAGCAGCCUUCUCAGCAGUGUCUUCAUCCUGUUACUUGUGCAGGUUGUCCCAAGUGACCUUGGAGACGGCC